CAGAGAAUAGUUUAUAUAAAAUAAUAAUUUUGGAGAUUAUAGAUAAAUGUUUAUUUUUCUUUGA
Molecule: transfer RNA, 64 nt
Filed under: Lepidostoma inops
Lineage: Eukaryota; Metazoa; Arthropoda; Insecta; Trichoptera; Lepidostomatidae
Description: tRNA-Pro
Source: RNAcentral